RNAcentral lists this long non-coding RNA (236 nucleotides) under Leptinotarsa decemlineata (Colorado potato beetle). RNAcentral describes it as "uncharacterized LOC111509807, transcript variant X2". The record is from RNAcentral. Lineage: Eukaryota; Metazoa; Arthropoda; Insecta; Coleoptera; Chrysomelidae.
GCGCAAAUAGACGAUCCAAGGCUUGAAAAUACAUAAAUAUAACGAUGAAAAUAUACACAGAUAUAUCAAUGCAUGAUAAAUAAAGUGAUUAUACUCUUCAGUAACAGGAAUCCUACUAGUAGUGUAAUCUGUAGAAGACAGCAUUUAUGAAAGUUUUGUGUGCUCUACCUGAUAGAGUACAAUUAUAUGACAUCUUAAAGAGAUCGGUGAGGCAUUAUUACGGUCCACAUAUGAAA